This 302-nucleotide ribosomal RNA is filed under the name uncultured bacterium. RNAcentral describes it as "partial 16S ribosomal RNA". It matches the Rfam family "Bacterial small subunit ribosomal RNA", at positions 508 to 809 of the family's 1533-position model. The record is from RNAcentral.
GCAGCAGCCGCGGGAAUACGUAGGUGGCAUGCGUUGUCCGGAAUUAUUGGGCGUAAAGGGCUCGCAGGCGGUUUCUUAAGUCUGAUGUGAAGGCCCCCGGCUCAACCGGGGAGGGUCAUUGGAAACUGGGAAACUUGAGUGCAGAAGAGGAGAGUGGAAUUCCACGUGUAGCGGUGAAAUGCGUAGAGAUGUGGAGGAGCACCAGAGGCGAAGGCGACUCUCUGGUCUGUAACUGACGCUGAGGAGCGAAAGCGUGGGGAGCGAACAGGAUUAGAUACCCCCGUAGUCCCUGUCUCUUAUAA